This 189-nucleotide ribosomal RNA is filed under the name uncultured eukaryote. Its description in RNAcentral is "partial 18S ribosomal RNA". It matches the Rfam family "Eukaryotic small subunit ribosomal RNA", at positions 1299 to 1458 of the family's 1831-position model. The record is from RNAcentral.
GCGUGGAAUGGUCUGUCUGGUUAAUUCCGAUAACGCACGAGACCCCAGCCGAUAGUUUACGGGUUUGUCGUUCCUCCGGGAACGCCAAACGAGUCACCGUGCUUGCUUUCGCAAGUGCGAUGGCUCUACCGAACACAACCUAUCGGGAUCGCACGCGUACACUAGCGUGAUGAAAGGUGGGCUAUAACA